GUGGGGAAUCUUCCGCAAUGGACGAAAGUCUGACGGAGCGACGCCGCGUGAGUGAAGAAGGCCUUCGGGUCGUAAAGCUCUGUCAUCAGGGACGAACGGCCGGUGGAGUGGAAAGCCACCGGAUUGACGGUACCUGAGAAGGAAGCCACGGCUAACUACGUGCCAGCAGCCGCGGUAAUACGUAGGUGGCAAGCGUUGUCCGGAAUUAUUGGGCGUAAAGCGCGCGCAGGUGGGAUCUUAAGUCCAUUUUUAAAGUUCGGAGCUCAACUCCGUGAUGGGAUGGAAACUGAGAUUCUGGAGUACCGGAGAGGAAAGCGGAAUUCCCCGUGUAGCGGUGAAAUGCGUAGAUAUGGGGAGGAACACCAGUGGCGAAGGCGGCUUUCUGGACGGUGUCUGACACUGAGGCGCGAAAGCCAGGGGAGCGAACGGGAUUAGAAACCCUAGUAGUCC
RNAcentral lists this ribosomal RNA (450 nucleotides) under uncultured bacterium. Its description in RNAcentral is "partial 16S ribosomal RNA". It matches the Rfam family "Bacterial small subunit ribosomal RNA", at positions 354 to 796 of the family's 1533-position model. The record is from RNAcentral.